Molecule: ribosomal RNA, 612 nt
Filed under: Bacillus paralicheniformis
Lineage: Bacteria; Bacillati; Bacillota; Bacilli; Caryophanales; Bacillaceae
Description: bacterial SSU rRNA
Rfam family: Bacterial small subunit ribosomal RNA
Source: RNAcentral
CCGGGGCUAAUACCGGAUGCUUGAUUGAACCGCAUGGUUCAAUCAUAAAAGGUGGCUUUUAGCUACCACUUACAGAUGGACCCGCGGCGCAUUAGCUAGUUGGUGAGGUAACGGCUCACCAAGGCGACGAUGCGUAGCCGACCUGAGAGGGUGAUCGGCCACACUGGGACUGAGACACGGCCCAGACUCCUACGGGAGGCAGCAGUAGGGAAUCUUCCGCAAUGGACGAAAGUCUGACGGAGCAACGCCGCGUGAGUGAUGAAGGUUUUCGGAUCGUAAAACUCUGUUGUUAGGGAAGAACAAGUACCGUUCGAAUAGGGCGGUACCUUGACGGUACCUAACCAGAAAGCCACGGCUAACUACGUGCCAGCAGCCGCGGUAAUACGUAGGUGGCAAGCGUUGUCCGGAAUUAUUGGGCGUAAAGCGCGCGCAGGCGGUUUCUUAAGUCUGAUGUGAAAGCCCCCGGCUCAACCGGGGAGGGUCAUUGGAAACUGGGGAACUUGAGUGCAGAAGAGGAGAGUGGAAUUCCACGUGUAGCGGUGAAAUGCGUAGAGAUGUGGAGGAACACCAGUGGCGAAGGCGACUCUCUGGUCUGUAACUGACGCUGAGGCG